RNAcentral lists this ribosomal RNA (516 nucleotides) under uncultured bacterium. RNAcentral describes it as "bacterial SSU rRNA". It matches the Rfam family "Bacterial small subunit ribosomal RNA", at positions 28 to 526 of the family's 1533-position model. The record is from RNAcentral.
GACGAACGCUGGCGGCGCGCCUAACACAUGCAAGUCGAACGGGGAUGCAAAGAAGCUUGCUUCAUUGCAUUCUAGUGGCGAACGGGUGAGUAACACGUGAGUAACCUGCCUUACAGAGGGGGAUAACGUUUGGAAACGAACGCUAAUACCGCAUAACAUUGUUUUUUCGCAUGGAGAGACAAUCAAAGGAGUCAAAUCCGCUGAAAGAUGGGCUCGCGCCCGAUUAGAUAGUUGGUGAGGUAACGGCUCACCAAGUCAACGAUCGGUAGCCGGACUGAGAGGUUGAACGGCCACAUUGGGACUGAGACACGGCCCAGACUCCUACGGGAGGCAGCAGUGGGGGAUAUUGCACAAUGGGGGAAACCCUGAUGCAGCGACGCCGCGUGAGGGAAGAAGGUUUUCGGAUUGUAAACUUCUGUUAUAAAGGAAGAACGGUACAUGGAGGGAAUGCCAUGUAAGUGACGGUACUUUAUGAGAAAGCCACGGCUAACUACGUGCCAGCCGCCGCGGUAACAC